RNAcentral lists this ribosomal RNA (236 nucleotides) under uncultured bacterium. RNAcentral's name for it is "partial 16S ribosomal RNA". It matches the Rfam family "Bacterial small subunit ribosomal RNA", at positions 125 to 354 of the family's 1533-position model. The record is from RNAcentral.
CCGUGCCCAAGAGACUGGGAUAACACCUGGAAACAGAUGCUAAUACCGGAUAACAACACUAGACGCAUGUCUAGAGUUUAAAAGAUGGUUCUGCUAUCACUCUUGGAUGGACCUGCGGUGCAUUAGCUAGUUGGUAAGGUAACGGCUUACCAAGGCAAUGAUGCAUAGCCGAGUUGAGAGACUGAUCGGCCACAUUGGGACUGAGACACGGCCCAAACUCCUACGGAAGGCAGCAG